This 588-nucleotide ribosomal RNA is filed under the name Triticum aestivum (bread wheat). RNAcentral's name for it is "partial small subunit ribosomal RNA". Lineage: Eukaryota; Viridiplantae; Streptophyta; Magnoliopsida; Poales; Poaceae. The record is from RNAcentral.
AUGGACAGCACCGCCCCGAACUCUUCUUCCGCCGCCGCCGUCGCCGCCGCGGCCGCGGCCGCUUCCGCUUCCGGUAACGGCGUACAAGGGGGAACGGGUGGGGACCGUCCCGAGGACCCGUCGAAGCAGAACCUGGCGCAGGUCACGGGCUCGAUCCAGAAGACCCUGGGCCUGCUCCACCAGCUCAACCUCAACGUCUCCUCCUUCAGCUCCGCGUCCCAGCUCCCCCUCCUCCAGCGCCUGAACGCGCUCGUGGCGGAGCUCGACACGAUGCAGAAGCUCGCCGACGGGUGCAACAUCCAGGUGCCCAUGGAGGUCGUCAAUUUGAUUGAUGACGGGAAGAACCCCGAUGAGUUCACCAGGGACGUGCUCAACAGCUGCAUCGCCAAGAACCAGAUCACCAAGGGCAAGACCGAUGCUUUCAAGAGCCUGAGGAAGCAUCUUCUUGAGGAGCUGGAAGAAGCUUUUCCAGAUGACGUUGAAGCGUACAGACAGAUACGUGCUACCUCUGCUGCUGAGUCAAAGAGGUUGGCUCAGUCCCAAAGUGCUUUGCCUAAUGGAGAUGCCAAAGUGAAACCUGAGCAUUGA